GCCACUAUGGUUCGGUGGUUGAACGUUAAACUCCCGCCAAAGCUUGAUUUCAAAGGCGGGCCCGGGAUUCGAUUCCCCGUGGUGGUC
This is a non-coding RNA of Mycena rosella, 87 nucleotides long. NCBI's taxonomy places the organism in Eukaryota, Fungi, Basidiomycota, Agaricomycetes, Agaricales, Mycenaceae. The record is from the annotation of a GenBank genome assembly.